CUCCUACGGGAGGCAGCAGUGAGGAAUAUUGGGCAAUGGAGGCAACUCUGACCCAGCCAUGCCGCGUGAGUGAAGAAGGUUUUCGGAUUGUAAAGCUCUUUCGGGUGUGACGAUGAUGACGGUAGCACCUAAAGAAGCCCCGGCUAACUUCGUGCCAGCAGCCGCGGUAAUACGAAGGGGGCAAGCGUUGUUCGGAAUUACUGGGUGUAAAGGGAGCGCAGGCGGGAGAACAAGUUGGAAGUGAAAUCCAUGGGCUCAACCCAUGAACUGCUUUCAAAACUGUUUUUCUUGAGUAGUGCAGAGGUAGGCGGAAUUCCCGGUGUAGCGGUGGAAUGCGUAGAUAUCGGGAGGAACACCAGUGGCGAAGGCGGCCUACUGGGCACCAACUGACGCUGAGGCUCGAAAGUGUGGGUAGCAAACAGGAUUAGAUACCCUGGUAGUCCACACCGUAAACGAUGAUUACUAGGUGUUGGAGGAUUGACCCCUUCAGUGCCGCAGUUAACACAAUAAGUAAUCCACCUGGGGAGUACGACCGCAAGGUUGAAACUCAAAGGAAUUGACGGGGGCCCGCACAAGCAGUGGAGUAUGUGGUUUAAUUCGACGCAACGCGAAGAACCUUACCAAGUCUUGACAUCCUGCGACGCACAUAGAAAUAUGUGUUUCCUUCGGGACGCAGAGACAGGUGGUGCAUGGUUGUCGUCAGCUCGUGUCGUGAGAUGUUGGGUUAAGUCCCGCAACGAGCGCAACCCUUAUGGUCAGUUACUACGCAAGAGGACUCUGGCCAGACUGCCGUUGACAAAACGGAGGAAGGUGGGGAUGACGUCAAAUCAUCAUGCCCUUUAUGACUUGGGCUACACACGUACUACAAUGGCGUUAAACAAAGAGAAGCAAGACCGCGAGGUGGAGCAAAACUCAGAAACAACGUCCCAGUUCGGACUGCAGGCUGCAACUCGCCUGCACGAAGUCGGAAUUGCUAGUAAUCGUGGAUCAGCAUGCCACGGUGAAUACGUUCCCGGGCCUUGUACACACCGC
This 1032-nucleotide ribosomal RNA is filed under the name uncultured bacterium. RNAcentral describes it as "bacterial SSU rRNA". It matches the Rfam family "Bacterial small subunit ribosomal RNA", at positions 336 to 1393 of the family's 1533-position model. The record is from RNAcentral.